CAUAUCUUCUCUGGAGAUCAAGGUCAAAACAACUCAAAGGAAGGUGGAAAUUCAGUUUCAAAAACACUCACAGCUGCCUGAAACAUAUUGAUCUAGCUCCUCUUCCCUCUACCUCCAAAGUCAUUUCUCUGAUAGACUCUGGUAGAAAUACAUUAUUUUCUUGUCAUAGGCACCACAAUGGAUCACUGUUAAGAAUAUACAGCACUUACAGAGAGAGGAGAGGGAGGAAUGCUCAGAUCAUGGUGAGCUAUAUUUGAAAUAGCAAUUCGCAGACGGCUUCCCAUCAGUCCUGUGACACUUUCCAAUUCGACAAGCUGAAAUUUCCAUCAAUCACAAACGCAUGACUACAAAUUAAGAGCAUCAAGAGCUGGACAUCUGAGAACAUCAAUAAGCAGAGAGUAGGAAAAAAAAACCCAGAUGAUUAUUCAAGUGUGGAAUUGCGAUAAUCAAGGUUUAGGGUAUAGAUAAAUGCUACGUGUCCAGUCUGGACUCCAGCUCGCCUUAGGAAUACAUAGAUGCUCCAUACACAGAAUCGCUCUGCAGAAACUUUACACAGACAGAUCAAUAAUAACGCCCGGCACUGAGACCUCGAAGGUACUGCAGUAAGCUCAGCCACUUAUGAGCUGAGCCAAGUGGCCUUUGCAGCAAAAGAAUAGCAGCUCCCUCUUAUUCCUUUGAUUUAUGCCCUUGGAAGUUGGCACAUAUUUCCACCAAGGACUGUCUAACUAUCUGAUUGAAGUGCUUGAUGUUAAGCAAAAUUGUUCUCCUUAAUUCACAAAAGAGUUAGAGAUCAAAGUAUAUGAGACCGGCUUUAGUGAAUAGAUUAGUUCCAUUUGAUUUUAAUUCCUUCAAACUGAUAAAACUCCUUUUCAAUGCUUAGCAUGGCCAGAGAGUGACAGAGACCAUGUUAAUGAGGUUACACAUUAUAUUGCCCUGUAGUGCAUGUUUUUUGUUAUCUCCAGCUGACUCGACUGCUGGAUGCUGUUCAGACACCGUCACUCCAAAGUCCUCCACCUCUCCUCCUUUGUUCUGAGCACAAAUCCUUCUUUUAUUAUCCAGGCAGCAGCGGAAGGUCCUGACCCCACUUCCCUAUUGCAGUUUCCUCCAUGUUUGAUGCCGCCCCACCCCCCUCCUGGAUUAUUGUGACUGAGUUCAUGCUGAUGAAACUCACCUGUGUUGGGAUCUGACAGGGACGUUCUACUGAGAUUUGGACACAUCAAUCAUUAAUAAGAAGAAUGUGUGGCUGCGUUGGCUUCACAGUGACCUGGAGGAGAUGGUGACACAAGGAUCCACUCUGUGAGUCUUUCUCCCAGGCUUCACAAAAAACACACACACACACAGAGAUCAACAUGCAGUUUUCUUCACUAGAAUAAUUGCGUGCCACCCCUGGCUGUCAAGCCAUGUCAGUGUCUCGUUAGCGCUGGUAUUGGCUCCGUCGUAGCUGGCAGAAUUGGGAAAGGUCAGAGUGGCAGUGUCUGCUCCGUCACACCGAGCGCAAGCUGGACAGACACGGCAGGUUCUUCCCCGUCUGUCUGGGCGAGCCUGAUCCAGGGAGGCCGCGUUACUACACAAACACCUCGGAGAGGAGCAGAUCUGUUUGGUUACAACUUGUCAGCUCUAAACGCAAUACAACGCGACUGUCAUUUUUAACAGGGCAAAUGCUUGGACACAGGAAGGGGCCAAUAUAAUGUUCACCAUGUGUAAUGGUGUAGCUUUGGAAAUAACGUCAAAGCCAGUGGUUGGAAAUCACCCACUGUAAAGUAAGUCUGUGUAAGAAAAAAAUGCAUAAGAAAAAGUUGUAAAACAACUACACUUUAAGAGAGGUGCUU
Molecule: long non-coding RNA, 1829 nt
Organism: Scophthalmus maximus (turbot)
Lineage: Eukaryota; Metazoa; Chordata; Actinopteri; Pleuronectiformes; Scophthalmidae
Source: Ensembl